Dermacentor albipictus is the source of this 747-nucleotide long non-coding RNA. RefSeq lists it as uncharacterized. NCBI's taxonomy places the organism in Eukaryota, Metazoa, Arthropoda, Arachnida, Ixodida, Ixodidae. The record is from RefSeq and is a predicted model, not a curated record.
AGCGUUUCGCUAGCGCUGGCGCCGUGCGCGUAUUGCAGCGAUGCCCAGCCUGUGUUGUGCUUAUGGGUGCAACAACUGAGGAGGUAAGGGGAAAAGACUGUUCGUCGGAAGAAGUAACGCGGCUCGCUGAAAGAUUUGGCUGCACUGGAUCGGCUCGAAAAAACUUUGAAAAUGUGCGGGACCUGCGUCUUUGUGAGGUGCACAAUAUUGGUCUGGCCGCAUCAAUUCUGCAACAACAUGCAGCCAGCGCAGGACUGCACACGCCGUAUUUGUCGAACCGUCAAGUAUGCCCCCGGAUCACAACUGCUUCACCGAUGCCCCUAGUGCCGCAUAACAGCCUUCGUGAUAACGCCCAUUCGCAGUCUCAAGAUACUCUGACACAGCAGUCACCUGGCCGUCACGCGACGUCGGCGCGCUGCCUUAGAAAGCAUUGAUCCCAGCUGCGCAGUUUCAGUGGGCAGGGCGGACCAUCAACAAGCAUGUGGAUUUAUAAGCCAUUCUUCUGCUUCAUGCAGGUUGUCAAACAUCCGACACGCGUUCACGGCAGUCGGCGACGGUCCUUGAUCUUGUUUUUGUACUGCCGUGGAUCCUGCAUGAAAUGCCAGCCAGGAUAACGAAGACUAGCGCUGGAAUGAUGCCAUUUUUGGUGUUUCACUCUGACCACGUGCAACGAACUUUUCAUUCGUGGGAUACGAGCUGCAAGGUGUGACGUCAUCAGCAACAUACCUACUAAAGGAGCGACGCGAC